CAGGUCACUCCUACGGGAGGCAGCAGUGGGGAAUCUUGCACAAUGGGGGAAACCCUGAUGCAGCGACGCCGCGUGAGCGAUGAAGCCCUUCGGGGUGUAAAGCUCUUUCGGCAGGGAAGAUGAUGACGGUACCUGCAGAAGCAGCUGCGGCUAACUACGUGCCAGCAGCCGCGGUAAUACGUAGGCAGCAAGCGUUGUUCGGAGUUACUGGGCGUAAAGGGUGUGUAGGCGGACAGUUUAGUCAGAGGUGAAAGCCCAGGGCUCAACCUUGGAAUUGCCUUUGAUACUGGCUGUCUUGAGUUCGGGAGAGGUGAGUGGAAUGCCGAGUGUAGAGGUGAAAUUCGUAGAUAUUCGGCGGAACACCAGUGGCGAAGGCGACUCACUGGCCCGAUACUGACGCUGAGGCGCGAAAGCGUGGGGAGCAAACAGGAUUAGAUACCCUGGUAGUCCACGCUGUAAACGAUGAGUGCUAGUUGUCGGCAUGCAUGCAUGUCGGUGACGCAGCUAACGCAUUAAGCACUCCGCCUGGGGAGUACGGUCGCAAGAUUAAAACUUAAAGGAAUUGACG
RNAcentral lists this ribosomal RNA (568 nucleotides) under uncultured Phenylobacterium sp. Its description in RNAcentral is "bacterial SSU rRNA". It matches the Rfam family "Bacterial small subunit ribosomal RNA", at positions 329 to 915 of the family's 1533-position model. Lineage: Bacteria; Pseudomonadati; Pseudomonadota; Alphaproteobacteria; Caulobacterales; Caulobacteraceae. The record is from RNAcentral.